CAUUUGGAAACAGAUGCUAAUACCGCAUAGAUCCAAGAACCGCAUGGUUCUUGGCUGAAAGAUGGCGUAAGCUAUCGCUUUUGGAUGGACCCGCGGCGUAUUAGCUAGUUGGUGAGGUAAUGGCUCACCAAGGCGAUGAUACGUAGCCGAACUGAGAGGUUGGUCGGCCACAUUGGGACUGAGACACGGCCCAAACUCCUACGGGAGGCAGCAGUAGGGAAUCUUCCACGAUGGACGCAAGUCUGAUGGAGCAACGCCGCGUGAGUGAAGAAGGCUUUCGGGUCGUAAAACUCUGUUGUUGGAGAAGAAUGGUCGGCAGAGUAACUGUUGCCGGCGUGACGGUAUCCAACCAGAAAGCCACGGCUAACUACGUGCCAGCAGCCGCGGUAAUACGUAGGUGGCAAGCGUUAUCCGGAUUUAUUGGGCGUAAAGCGAGCGCAGGCGGUUUUUUAAGUCUGAUGUGAAAGCCCUCGGCUUAACCGAGGAAGCGCAUCGGAAACUGGGAAACUUGAGUGCAGAAGAGGACAGUGGAACUCCAUGUGUAGCGGUGAAAUGCGUAGAUAUAUGGAAGAACACCAGUGGCGAAGGCGGCUGUCUGGUCUGUAACUGACGCUGAGGCUCGAAAAGCA
RNAcentral lists this ribosomal RNA (629 nucleotides) under uncultured bacterium. Its description in RNAcentral is "bacterial SSU rRNA". It matches the Rfam family "Bacterial small subunit ribosomal RNA", at positions 147 to 762 of the family's 1533-position model. The record is from RNAcentral.